Molecule: ribosomal RNA, 504 nt
Filed under: uncultured bacterium
Lineage: Bacteria
Description: partial 16S ribosomal RNA
Rfam family: Bacterial small subunit ribosomal RNA
Source: RNAcentral
ACUCAAAUGAAUAGACGGGGGCUCACACAAGCGGUGGAGUAUGUGGCUUAAUUCGAGGCUACGCGCAAAACCUUAUCCCGGGCUUGACAUGCACGGAUUAGCCGGCGGAAACGUCGGCGACGCCGCAAGGUGGAACGUGCACAGGUGCUGCAUGGCUGUCGUCAGCUCGUGUCGUGAGAUGUUGGGUUAAGUCCCCUAACGAGCGCAACCCCUGCCCCUAGUUGCCAGCACGUCAUGGUGGGAACUCUAGGGGGACCGCCGGCGUCAAGCCGGAGGAAGGCGGGGAUGACGUCAAGUCCUCAUGGCCCUUAUGCCCGGGGCUGCACACGUACUACAAUGGGUCGGACAGAGCGACGCUAAGCCGCAAGGCCACGCCAAUCGCAAAAACCGCCCCUCAGUUCGGAUUGUGGGCUGCAACCCGCCCACAUGAAGCUGGAAUCGCUAGUAAUCGCGGAUCAGCAUGCCGCGGUGAAUGGGUUCCUGAGCCUUGUACACACCGCCCGU